UAUGAUUAGCUAUUUAUAGCUAGGAUUGUAUAGAGGGUAGUGGCAGUCGCCCCAACUCCGACAUGUGGGUAAAAUCUUUGAUUUUAUUCACAAGUAAGGUGAGAAACAGCAAUUGUGUUGGAAACUUUAAUUUUGUUAAGAAAUUAAGGAACUGU
This 155-nucleotide non-coding RNA is filed under the name unclassified sequences. RNAcentral describes it as "IS605-orfB-II RNA". It matches the Rfam family "IS605-orfB-II RNA". The record is from Rfam by way of RNAcentral.